RNAcentral lists this unclassified non-coding RNA (1366 nucleotides) under uncultured Neocallimastigales. RNAcentral's name for it is "partial contains internal transcribed spacer 1, 5.8S ribosomal RNA, internal transcribed spacer 2, and large subunit ribosomal RNA". The stretch from base 593 to 1366 matches the Rfam family "Eukaryotic large subunit ribosomal RNA", at positions 1 to 626 of the family's 3401-position model. Lineage: Eukaryota; Fungi; Neocallimastigomycota; Neocallimastigomycetes; Neocallimastigales. The record is from RNAcentral.
AAAAUAAUCCUACCCUUUGUGAAUUUUGUUUGUUUGAAUAAUUUUUUUUUUUAAAAAAUUAUUGGAGUCUUUCCCUUUAGAGUUUGCUUUUGAGUUUGUAAAAGAAUUCGAAAACAUCUAAAGGGGAUGGUCAAUAAUUUUUUUUGAAAAAAGACAUUUUUUAAAAUUAAACUUUUUGUAUUCAUUUGUCUAAAAAUUAUUUUUAUAAUAUAAAAACAACUUUUGACAAUGGAUCUCUUGGUUCUCGCAACGAUGAAGAACGCAGCAAAAUGCGAUAAGUAGUGUGAAUUGCAGAAUACGUGAAUCAUCGAAUCUUUGAACGCAUAUUACACUUUUUUAGUUUACUAAAAAAGUAUGUCUGUUUGAGUAUCAGUAAAAUAUUCUCAUAAAAAUCAUUGUAUUUUUAUGGUUAUGAGUGUUUUACAACGAUACAAGUUGUUUCACUUUAAAUUUUUUUUAAUAUUGAAAUUUUUCUAAUUUUAAUAAUUAAAAUUGGAUAAAAUUUUCCCGUCAAAAGGAAUAACCUAAACAAUUUUAAAUGAUUAAUUUUAGCAAAAUUUUCGUAAAAAAGGAAAUUUUUAUUAAAAUAACUUGAUCUCAAAUCAGAUAAGAGUACCCGCUGAACUUAGGCAUAUCAAUAAGCGGAGGAAAAGAACUAACAAGGAUUCCCUUAGUAACGGCGAGUGAAGCGGGAAGAGCUCAAAUUUGAAAUCUUCAAGGUUUUACCUUGACGAAUUGUAGUUUAAAGAAGUGUUUUCUGCUGAAGUUUUGGUAAAAGUUCUUUGGAAUAGGACAUCAUAGAGGGUGAGAAUCCCGUAUUUGACCAUUAUUUUCAGCUUUGUGAUACACUUUCAAAGAGUCGGAUUGUUUGGGAAUGCAGUCCAAAAUGGGUGGUAAAUUUCAUCUAAAGCUAAAUAUUGGCGAGAGACCGAUAGCGAACAAGUACCGUGAGGGAAAGAUGAAAAGAACUUUGAAAAGAGAGUUAAACAGUACGUGAAAUUGUCAAAAGGGAAGCGUUUGACACCAGUGUUGUUUUCUCGAAAAUCAAUUAAAAAUGGCUCGAUUUUGUAUUGCUGAGACCUUAAAAGCUCACUGUACAUUUUUCGUGUCUUUUUUAAUGCACUUUUCGUUUAACAAGUCAACAUCAGUUUCUUUUGUUGUAAAAGGGUCAUUGGAAGGUGGCUUUCUUUUCGGAGAAAGUGUUUAUAGCCUUUGGCCUCUGCAAUCGGAGAGACUGAGGUCUGCAGCGUAGACUCUUCGGGGUUAGAUACAUUUGUGCUAAGUUAUAGCUUUUUAUAGACAACUUGUUGACUAUAAUUAGUCUUGUAGCUUACUCGCUUAUGCUAUUUUACCUACGCUUAGGAUG